UUGGUGAUGAAAAGAAAUUGUAAGCUAAGCUAGUUUAUGGUUUAGUUAUCUCAGAGAAGAAGUCAAUUUAAGAUGUGAUAUAAGAUAUUAGAGAAAACCAAAAAUAUAUUGGUCGUAUGCAUCUAUGUAUAUGUGUCGUUAAUUAUAGGAAUAAAAAAAUAAUGGCAUUAGUAUUUACUUUUUUCAUCAGUAUUGCAUAAAACUUUCUUUAUCUAUUGGAGUUGACCCUAGUAAUCGAAAGAUUGUUAAUUUUUCACUGUGGUAGAGGUGUUUGAACAUAUUUUUUAAUUCAAUAUAUAUUUCAGUUUGGAUACAUAGUGUAAAAGAUGUGCAAUUUGGUUUAUUUU
RNAcentral lists this long non-coding RNA (347 nucleotides) under Oryza brachyantha (malo sina). RNAcentral describes it as "long non-coding RNA (OBRA_LNC002918)". The record is from RNAcentral. Lineage: Eukaryota; Viridiplantae; Streptophyta; Magnoliopsida; Poales; Poaceae.